AUACGUAGGGGGCGAGCGUUGUCCGGAAUGAUUGGGCGUAAAGGGCGCGUAGGCGGCCUGAUAAGUCUGGAGUGAAAGUCCUGCUUUCAAGGUGGGAAUUGCUUUGGAGACUGUCGGGCUUGAGUGCGGAAGAGGUAAGUGGAAUUCCCAGUGUAGCGGUGAAAUGCGUAGAGAUUGGGAGGAACACCAGUGGCGAAGGCGACUUACUGGACUGUAACUGACGCUGAGGCGCGAAAGUGUGGGGAGCAAACAGGAUUAGAUACCCUGGUAGUCCACACUGUAAACGAUGAAUGCUAGGUGUAGGGGGUAUCGACCCCUUCUGUGCCGCAGUCAACACAAUAAGCAUUCCGCCUGGGGAGUACGGCCGCAAGGUUGAAACUCAAAGGAAUUGGCGGGG
RNAcentral lists this ribosomal RNA (397 nucleotides) under uncultured bacterium. Its description in RNAcentral is "partial 16S ribosomal RNA". It matches the Rfam family "Bacterial small subunit ribosomal RNA", at positions 523 to 918 of the family's 1533-position model. The record is from RNAcentral.